UUCCGGAAGCUCAAUCUUACAGUCGGCGACGGUGAAGCAUCUUGCACUUUCGUCGAUUGAAUUCUGGUGAUUUGUUCGGGUGCCGUGUCGUCGGCUUAAUGAAACGCACUGCAUCGUGGCGUUCGCCCUAACGCCUUUCAACGGCGGGCGUUAGCGACAACGAAGCAUCUAGCGUCGUCGCUGACAGCUUUCGGGAAACGUUGUGUUGUAUUUCGUACGGGUGCUGUAACCGCGCUUAAAGUAAUGCGUUGCAUCAAGGCAUUCGCCCGGACGUUAUACUCACAACUACGCCGUUGGAAAUGAUGGGUACCUGUCUCGCAUCUGAGAAGAGCUACUGCAUUGCCAGGUUUAAUGAACCGCGUUGGCGGUCGCCCGCACUGUCCCCCGAAAACGUUGUUGAAAUCACUAUGAAAUUAUGGCAUGACUUAGGUCGCUGCCAGAUGAAAACGAUUAACCACUCUAAGCGGUGAAUCACUCGGCUCGUGUGUCGAUGAAGAGCGCAGCCAGCUGCGUUAAGUAAUGUGAAUUGCAGGACACAUUGAACAUCGAUAUCUUGAACGCAUAUUGCGGCCUCGGGUAUUCCCGAGGCCACGCCUGUCUCAGGGUCGGUUGAACGUCGAUCGCGAGAAGCAUUUUGCUCGCGCAUUGAACGUCGAAGCGUGACAGCCUCAGUCGCACUCUUGCAACGCAUCCGCAAAGUGUGCAGUCAAUCGCUGCGUCGUUUGAAAAUCAGACUGGUUCAACCGUCAGUUCGAGCUCGAGGCUCGACUAGUCAGGACGGUGGCUCGAACGCAUCAGAGUUACACGAUCUUUUGGCUAGUCUGGCCACGAACUGGCGGUUUAGACCGGCGAUGUGCUUCGAAGCACGUUGCACUGUGCAAAUUUCGAUUCUUUCGACCUGAGAUCAGACGAGAUUACCCGCUGAAUUUAA
This 931-nucleotide ribosomal RNA is filed under the name Achaeta bibulba. Its description in RNAcentral is "eukaryotic LSU rRNA". The stretch from base 456 to 608 matches the Rfam family "5.8S ribosomal RNA". Lineage: Eukaryota; Metazoa; Annelida; Clitellata; Enchytraeida; Enchytraeidae. The record is from RNAcentral.